AAAAUAUGAUAAAGAUGGAUAUGCAAGAAUUGGAAUAAUGCCUCAUUAUGGUGAUGCUAAUUCCAUUAAAUGGUUUGAAAUUGAACCAUGUUGUGUAUUUCACAUAAUAAAUUGUUUUGAAGAUAAUGAUGAGCAAAGAAUUUAUCAGGAGGAUUUGCUAAAUUUGGAGGGCUAGCCAAAUUUCAUUUUGAAGAAAGACAUGUUGAAAAUUCUAAGGAUAAUAAAGAAGAAGAAGAUUUGAUUAAGGUUGAAUAUCACAUUUUCCCAAAAAACACAUUUUGUAGUGGAGCUACAUUUGUUCCAAAGCUUGAUGGUGUUGAUGAAGAUGAUGGUUGGAUUGUGGCAUUCACACAUAAUGAAAAUACAAAUCAAUCACAAGUUUAUAUAAUUGAUGCAAAAAAAUUUGAAAGUGAGGUCGUUGCCAUAAUCAUAUUACCAAGUAGAGUGCCAUAUGGAUUUCAUGGGGCAUUUAUGUCCUUCAAUUAAUUAUAGAUACCCUACUAAAAAAUGUUAAAAUCCGAAAAAAAAAAUCGACGGACUAUAGUUUAUAACCAAUAAAAUCCAUCGAUCCGUUGGUUUUGGCCUUCGUUUUUCGACCUGUUUUUUUUUAGUGAUAGUAUAGUAUUCAAUAUCUUGUGCUUAUUGCCUUAUUGAAUUGUUUCGUAUAUUUGCGGUCUCCAAUAAAUACAUGCAUGAAUAAAAUAUAAUAUAUGCCAAUAAA
This is a long non-coding RNA of Solanum stenotomum, 721 nucleotides long. RefSeq lists it as uncharacterized. NCBI's taxonomy places the organism in Eukaryota, Viridiplantae, Streptophyta, Magnoliopsida, Solanales, Solanaceae. The record is from RefSeq and is a predicted model, not a curated record. The transcript is spliced from 4 exons.